Humulus lupulus (European hop) is the source of this 586-nucleotide long non-coding RNA. RefSeq lists it as uncharacterized. The transcript is spliced from 2 exons. NCBI's taxonomy places the organism in Eukaryota, Viridiplantae, Streptophyta, Magnoliopsida, Rosales, Cannabaceae. The record is from RefSeq and is a predicted model, not a curated record.
AGAUGAAAAACCCCUUCGACCUUCUCUGCCCAAACCUAGAAAAAAUCGAAACACCACAAACACAAACCCACAAAUCCAAAUCACAAUCACAAACCAGAUACACACAUUCAAGAGUGAGGAAAGAGAGAUACAAACAGAGAUUUAUAGAGGUUCACCACCAACAGAUUUGGGGCUACGUCCUCUUGAGCUCGCCUCAGAGAUUGAGAGCUCUCAAAUCCACUAAUCAGAUGAAGAAUCAGUACAUCCAAGCCUUCAAGAUUUCAGUUACAUCAUACAGGAAAACAACUCCUCUCAAAGCUCUCAAAAAUUGCUUUUCACUCAAAAAUUACAUGAUAAGAUUUUUCUUCCUUUUGAUUACAUGUAUUUAUAGACUAGCAAAGAAAGAAAAAUAAAGUAGAUUUCGGUUGUGAUUUUUUUCUUGAUCUUGAACUGCUUUUGUUUUGUUUGUUGUUAAACUGGCAAGAGUUUAGUUGUAACAAUAUUUUGUAAGUGGCUGUAACUGAAUAUUGGUUCUGAAUAAGGACUUGUAUUUAACAUACUUGGUGGUGUUAAUGUUUUGGUUGAAUAUAUGCAAAAAUUUUACAUA